This 394-nucleotide ribosomal RNA is filed under the name uncultured bacterium. Its description in RNAcentral is "bacterial SSU rRNA". It matches the Rfam family "Bacterial small subunit ribosomal RNA", at positions 32 to 417 of the family's 1533-position model. The record is from RNAcentral.
AAUCAACGCUGGCGGCGUGCCUCAGACAUGCAAGUUGAACGAUUAAAGCUCUCUUCGGAGAGUGCAUAAAGUGGCGCACGGGUGAGUAACACGUAAGUAAUCUACCCUCGAGUGGGGAAUAACGUCCGGAAACGGACGCUAAUACCGCAUAACGCAGCGGCACCGCAAGGUGACAGUUGUUAAAGGAGAAAUCCGCUUGAGGAGGAGCUUGCGGCAGAUUAGCUUGNGGUAAGGUAACGGCUUACCAAGGCUACGAUCGGUAGCCGGCCUGAGAGGGCGGACGGCCACACUGGGACUGAGACACGGCCCAGACUCCUACGGGAGGCAGCAGUGGGGAAUAUUGGACAAUGGGCGCAAGCCUGACGCAGCGACGCCGCGUGAGGGAUGACGGCCU